AUGAGUGCAUGCUCUAUAUCUUCAACCAACCAAAUAACGAAUAAUGCCACAGGAAACAAAAUAUGGAAGAAAACACACGAAUAACAUUAAGCCAAUGUAGCAAAAGAACAGAGACAAACAAGGAAAAUGGCAUGUCGGACACUUAAUGGAAGCAUGCUAACAGAAAUACUACUUUCCACAAUAACAGACGCCAUAUCAACCCUAUAUGACAACCUGCUCGCCGAUAGUUCAUGUUUGAUGUUUCCACAUUUUUAUUUCAGCAUUCAAAACAUCUAGAGAACCCAUCUAGUUCUAGGCAAAGAAAACUCCAGGAGCUCCUUUAUUUUAGCAUUCAAAACAUCUAAAGAACCGAAAUAGAAAAAUCAAACUCCAGGUGCAAGCAGUCCAGUAAAUAACACAUAAAUUUUACCUUCAGUUGUCUCCCAAGCAACGCCUCCGACAAAAAUCUUUCUGCAAAAGAAAAAGUAUUAGCUCUCCUGCUAAACUAUAUCCUUGAAAUUCAGAACAAAUACAAUUACCCUAAAGCCCAAAUCGCUCACCCCAACGAGUCGCCACCCGCCCCCCUCCCAUCCUCUCCAACAGCAUAAGCGUACCCAGAGCCCCCAUCCCGGCCUACCCGCCUCC
This 624-nucleotide long non-coding RNA is filed under the name Zea mays. RNAcentral describes it as "long non-coding RNA (ZMAY_LNC005696)". The record is from RNAcentral. Lineage: Eukaryota; Viridiplantae; Streptophyta; Magnoliopsida; Poales; Poaceae.